This 238-nucleotide ribosomal RNA is filed under the name Liparis fabricii (gelatinous snailfish). RNAcentral's name for it is "partial 28S ribosomal RNA". The record is from RNAcentral. Lineage: Eukaryota; Metazoa; Chordata; Actinopteri; Perciformes; Liparidae.
UAUGACUGACGCCUCUAAGUCAGAAUCCCGCCUAGACGUAACGAUACCAUAGCGCCGCGGAUCUUCGGUUGGUCCCGGAUAACCGACUUCGGUCGGUGAGUAAAGCCACUCGUGGCAGGGCUGGGGAGCGACCCCAUGAAGGUCGCCCUUCUCCUACCUCGCACUGCAUGUUUGUGGAGAACCUGGUGCUAAAUCACUUGCAGACGACCUGAUUCUGGGUCAGGGUCUUGUACGUAGC